RNAcentral lists this unclassified non-coding RNA (1008 nucleotides) under Hevea brasiliensis (rubber tree). The record is from RNAcentral. Lineage: Eukaryota; Viridiplantae; Streptophyta; Magnoliopsida; Malpighiales; Euphorbiaceae.
GCCAUGCACAAAUGAAACACACAAGUAAUUAAGAGCCCCAUGAGAUAAAUUAUGCCAAUAGGAAGAUAUUCAAUAUCAAAUUAAAAGGAAAUUGCUAACUGCAUCCUGAAUUCCGAAUAAAAGGAAAAUGUACAGAUGUUUAAAAGAAAGACAGAUCUGAAGUAGUCAAACACUCAAUUAACUGCAUACGAUUUUCAGUUUAUCUUCAAGACUUAAUGUAGUAUGGAUCCAUAAUUUAAGGUUAGCUACUAAAAAAUUUUGGCAUGCCCAUAGUCAAGCCUUAGUUUGUAACACAAUUAGAAAAGUUUCAACAGCUGCCCCAUACCACGGACUGAAUAACUAACCAUCAUUUGCUCACAAACCACAAUCCAUAGGUAGUUAGAUCAUGGUCAUCUGGAAAACAUGCCUUGGUUUAUGGUUUGAGAACAAUGAACCCUCAAAAUUGAUUCCAAACCAAUAAAGCUCAUUGUGUUGUCAAAACCUACUGAGGACUCAUAACAAACCCAAAUAAUUGGUCAUUGCAAGUAACAACUGUAAUUGAUGCUCACUUCAAUUGAGGAGUGACUACAAAACCCAGAACCCAGCACAGCUAGACUCAGUUCACUGCUUUAGUUCAUAUCAUUUACUAGUAACUUUAGCCCUUAUGCAAGUCAAUCCAUCUAUAAGAACAAGAUCUUGUUGAACCAGGUAGCCUGAUAAGGUAGACCGGGUUUGAUCACAUCUAAUUCAUGUUACCUCAGUUCUUAUAAUUUUCAUCAAAGGAGUAAUUAGGAAUACAGGUAACCAAGGACAACGCCUGCAAAAUUUCCAGAUACUGUAUUACACCACAUACACUCAAUUGUUUAUUUUUUUUCUUUUUUAACCAAUUGCAAAGCUGAUACUGAAAAAUAAAAACUUAGUGAAGGCAAUCAUGCAAUGAUAUCAAAUGAUCUAUUACUGGAGUAACAAAUCAUCAAAAUAUUGAAGCAUAGUGGAUUUCCAUACCAUCUGGCUGUUGCUGGCUGUGAC